This 403-nucleotide ribosomal RNA is filed under the name Verrucomicrobiota bacterium. RNAcentral describes it as "Verrucomicrobia bacterium partial 16S ribosomal RNA". It matches the Rfam family "Bacterial small subunit ribosomal RNA", at positions 355 to 776 of the family's 1533-position model. The record is from RNAcentral. Lineage: Bacteria; Pseudomonadati; Verrucomicrobiota.
UGGGGAAUAUUGCACAAUGGGGGAAACCCUGAUGCAGCGACGCCGCGUGAGCGAAGAAGGUUUUCGAAUUGUAAAGCUCUGUCCUAUGAGAAGAUAAUGACGGUAUCUUAGGAGGAAGCCCCGGCUAAAUACGUGCCAGCAGCCGCGGUAAUACGUAUGGGGCGAGCGUUGUCCGGAAUUAUUGGGCGUAAAGGGUACGUAGGCGGUCUAUUAAGUCAGGUGUGAAAGCGUGAGGCUUAACCUCAUUAAGCACUUGAAACUGAUAGACUUGAGUGAAGGAGAGGAAAAUGUAAUUCCUAGUGUAGCGGUGAAAUGCGUAGAUAUUAGGAGGAAUACCGGUGGCGAAGGCGACUUACUGGGCUAUUACUGACGCUCAGGUACGAAAGCGGGGGGAGCAAACAGG